CGCAGCUUUAUCAACCCAAGUUAUAGAGGGAUGGCAACAUUUCAAGUCCAAAAGGAGACGCCGGGCGCCACUUGUUCAAAAGGAAAAACUCUCGGAAGCAGAGAAAGUGUUUAUACCGAUUCACAGACAUGGAAGCCAUUGGACAUUGCUGGUGUUGGAUGUACAAGCCAAACGAAUGCGCUUCUAUGACCCCUUGAACCGGAG
RNAcentral lists this long non-coding RNA (204 nucleotides) under Haliotis rufescens (red abalone). RNAcentral's name for it is "uncharacterized LOC125374525". Lineage: Eukaryota; Metazoa; Mollusca; Gastropoda; Lepetellida; Haliotidae. The record is from RNAcentral.